AGGGAAUCUUCCACAAUGGACGAAAGUCUGAUGCAGCAACGCCGCGUGAGGGAAGACGGUUUUCGGAUUGUAAACCUCUGUCCUUGGUGACGAAACAAAUGACGGUAGCCAAGGAGGAAGCUCCGGCUAACUACGUGCCAGCAGCCGCGGUAAUACGUAGGGAGCAAGCGUUGUCCGGAUUUACUGGGUGUAAAGGGUGCGUAGGCGGCUCUGCAAGUCAGGUGUGAAAACUAUGGGCUUAACUCAUAGAUUGCACUUGAAACUGUGGGGCUUGAGUGGAGUAGAGGCAUGCGGAAUUCCCGGUGUAGCUGUGAAAUGCGUAGAGAUCGGGAGGAACACCAGUGGCGAAGGCGGCCUGCUGGGCUUUAACUGACGCUGAGACGCGAAAGCAUUGGUAGCAAACA
This 404-nucleotide ribosomal RNA is filed under the name uncultured Oscillospiraceae bacterium. RNAcentral's name for it is "bacterial SSU rRNA". It matches the Rfam family "Bacterial small subunit ribosomal RNA", at positions 356 to 774 of the family's 1533-position model. Lineage: Bacteria; Bacillati; Bacillota; Clostridia; Eubacteriales; Oscillospiraceae. The record is from RNAcentral.